CACGCAGGUUNGAGCGGAAACGACAUUAUUGAAUCUUCGGAGGAUUUAGAUGGGCGUCGAGCGGCGGACGGGUGAGUAAUGCCUAGGAAAUUGCCUUGAUGUGGGGGAUAACCAUUGGAAACGAUGGCUAAUACCGCAUAAUGCCUACGGGCCAAAGAGGGGGACCUUCGGGCCUCUCGCGUCAAGAUAUGCCUAGGUGGGAUUAGCUAGUUGGUGAGGUAAUGGCUCACCAAGGCGACGAUCCCUAGCUGGUCUGAGAGGAUGAUCAGCCACACUGGAACUGAGACACGGUCCAGACUCCUACGGGAGGCAGCAGUGGGGAAUAUUGCACAAUGGGCGAAAGCCUGAUGCAGCCAUGCCGCGUGUAUGAAGAAGGCCUUCGGGUUGUAAAGUACUUUCAGUUGUGAGGAAGGGUGUGUAGUUAAUAGCUGCGCAUCUUGACGUUAGCAACAGAAGAAGCACCGGCUAACUCCGUGCCAGCAGCCGCGGUAAUACGGAGGGUGCGAGCGUUAAUCGGAAUUACUGGGCGUAAAGCGCAUGCAGGUGGUUCAUUAAGUCAGAUGUGAAAGCCCGGGGCUCAACCUCGGAACUGCAUUUUGAAAACUGGUUGAACUAGAGUGCU
RNAcentral lists this ribosomal RNA (622 nucleotides) under Vibrio sp. UST050418-583. RNAcentral describes it as "bacterial SSU rRNA". It matches the Rfam family "Bacterial small subunit ribosomal RNA", at positions 54 to 650 of the family's 1533-position model. Lineage: Bacteria; Pseudomonadati; Pseudomonadota; Gammaproteobacteria; Vibrionales; Vibrionaceae. The record is from RNAcentral.